UACGUAGGCAGCGAGCGUUGUUCGGAGUUACUGGGCGUAAAGCGUGCGUAGGCGGUGUCUUAAGUUUGUUGUGAAAUCUCCCGGCUUAACCGGGAGGGUGCGGCGAAUACUGAGAUGCUGGAGUGCCGGAGAGGUAAGCGGAAUUCCUGGUGUAGCGGUGAAAUGCGUAGAUAUCAGGAGGAACACCGGCGGUGUAGACGGCUUUCUGGACCGUAGCUGACGCUGAGACACGAAAGCGUGGGUAGCAAACAGG
RNAcentral lists this ribosomal RNA (253 nucleotides) under uncultured bacterium. RNAcentral describes it as "partial 16S ribosomal RNA". It matches the Rfam family "Bacterial small subunit ribosomal RNA", at positions 524 to 776 of the family's 1533-position model. The record is from RNAcentral.